CAGCCGUAAACUAUGCUCGCUAGGUGUCAGGCAUGGCGCGACCGUGUCUGGUGCCGCAGGGAAGCCGUGAAGCGAGCCACCUGGGAAGUACGGCCGCAAGGCUGAAACUUAAAGGAAUUGGCGGGGGAGGCACAACAACGGGUGGAGCCUGCGGUUUAAUUUGGACUCAACGCCGGACAACUCACCGGGGACGGACAGCAAUAUGUAGGCCAGGCUGAAGACCUUGCCUGAAUCGCUGAGAGGAGGUGCAUGGCGUAGACGUCU
Molecule: ribosomal RNA, 264 nt
Filed under: uncultured archaeon
Lineage: Archaea
Description: partial 16S ribosomal RNA
Rfam family: Archaeal small subunit ribosomal RNA
Source: RNAcentral